UACAUAGGGUGCGAGCGUUAAUCGGAAUUACUGGGCGUAAAGCGUGCGCAGGCGGUUUUGUAAGCCAGAUGUGAAAUCCCCGGGCUUAACCUGGGAAUGGCAUUUGGGACUGCAAGGCUGGAGUGUGGCAGAGGAGACUGGAAUUCCUGGUGUAGCAGUGAAAUGCGUAGAUAUCAGGAGGAAUACCGAUGGCGAAGGCAGGUCUCUGGGCUGACACUGACGCUCAUGCACGAAAGCGUGGGGAGCAAACAGG
This 253-nucleotide ribosomal RNA is filed under the name uncultured bacterium. Its description in RNAcentral is "partial 16S ribosomal RNA". It matches the Rfam family "Bacterial small subunit ribosomal RNA", at positions 524 to 776 of the family's 1533-position model. The record is from RNAcentral.